AGUGAACGCUGGCGGCGUGCCUAAUACAUGCAAGUCGAACGGAGUGGCGCACGGGUGAGUAAUGUAUAGCUAAUCUGCCCUACACUAUAGGACAACAGUUGGAAACGACUGCUAAUACUCUUAAGUGUAGGAUGAGGCUAUAUUGUCUCAGCUAGUUGGUGAGGUAAUGGCGCACCAAGGCUAUGACGCAUAACUGGUCUGAGAGAGUGAUCGGUCACACUGGAACUGAGACACGGUCCGGACUCAUAGUGGAGGCAGCAGUAGGGGAUAUUGCUCAAUGGGGGAAACGCUGAAGCAGCAACGCCGCGUGGAGGAUGACACUUUUCGGAGCGUAAACUCCUUUUGUUAGGGAAGCGGUACCUAACGAAUAAGCACCGGCUAACUCCGUGCCAGCAGCCGCGGUAAUUC
Molecule: ribosomal RNA, 408 nt
Filed under: uncultured bacterium
Lineage: Bacteria
Description: partial 16S ribosomal RNA
Rfam family: Bacterial small subunit ribosomal RNA
Source: RNAcentral